This 674-nucleotide ribosomal RNA is filed under the name Vibrio cholerae. Its description in RNAcentral is "partial 23S ribosomal RNA". It matches the Rfam family "Bacterial large subunit ribosomal RNA", at positions 531 to 1209 of the family's 2925-position model. Lineage: Bacteria; Pseudomonadati; Pseudomonadota; Gammaproteobacteria; Vibrionales; Vibrionaceae. The record is from RNAcentral.
GAGGGGAGUGAAAUAGAACCUGAAACCGUGUACGUACAAGCAGUAGGAGCACCUUCGUGGUGUGACUGCGUACCUUUUGUAUAAUGGGUCAGCGACUUAUAUUCAGUGGCAAGGUUAACCGUAUAGGGGAGCCGUAGCGAAAGCGAGUCUUAACUGGGCGCUCAGUCUCUGGAUAUAGACCCGAAACCGGGUGAUCUAGCCAUGGGCAGGUUGAAGGUUGAGUAACAUCAACUGGAGGACCGAACCGACUAAUGUUGAAAAAUUAGCGGAUGACUUGUGGCUAGGGGUGAAAGGCCAAUCAAACUCGGAGAUAGCUGGUUCUCCCCGAAAGCUAUUUAGGUAGCGCCUCGGACGAAUACUACUGGGGGUAGAGCACUGUUAAGGCUAGGGGGUCAUCCCGACUUACCAACCCUUUGCAAACUCCGAAUACCAGUAAGUACUAUCCGGGAGACACACGGCGGGUGCUAACGUCCGUCGUGGAGAGGGAAACAACCCAGACCGCCAGCUAAGGUCCCAAAGUAUUGCUAAGUGGGAAACGAUGUGGGAAGGCUCAGACAGCUAGGAUGUUGGCUUAGAAGCAGCCAUCAUUUAAAGAAAGCGUAAUAGCUCACUAGUCGAGUCGGCCUGCGCGGAAGAUGUAACGGGGCUAAGCAAUACACCGAAGCUGCGGCAAU